Molecule: unclassified non-coding RNA, 345 nt
Filed under: soil metagenome
Description: partial contains 5.8S ribosomal RNA, internal transcribed spacer 2, and large subunit ribosomal RNA
Rfam family: 5.8S ribosomal RNA (bases 1-120)
Source: RNAcentral
GAUGAAGAACGCAGCGAAAUGCGAUACGUAAUGUGAAUUGCAGAAUUCAGUGAAUCAUCGAGUCUUUGAACGCACAUUGCGCCCCCUGGUAUUCCGGGGGGCAUGCCUGUCCGAGCGUCAUUGCUGCCCUCAAGCACGGCUUGUGUGUUGGACCUCCGUCCUCCUCCCGGGGGACGGGCCCGAAAGGCAGCGGCGGCACCGCGUCCGGUCCUCGAGCGUAUGGGGCUUCGUCACCCGCUCUUGUAGGCCCGGCCGGCGCUUGCCGACACAUCAAUCUUUUUUCCAGGUUGACCUCGGAUCAGGUAGGGAUACCCGAUGAACUUAAGCAUAUCAAUAAGCGGAGGA